This 403-nucleotide ribosomal RNA is filed under the name Segatella copri. RNAcentral's name for it is "partial 23S ribosomal RNA". It matches the Rfam family "Bacterial large subunit ribosomal RNA", at positions 67 to 474 of the family's 2925-position model. The record is from RNAcentral. Lineage: Bacteria; Pseudomonadati; Bacteroidota; Bacteroidia; Bacteroidales; Prevotellaceae.
UGCGAUAAGCUUCGGGUAGGUGCAAAUAACCCUUGAUCCGGAGAUUUCCGAAUGGGACAACCUAGCCGUCUGAAGGACGGCUACUCAAUCUUCAAGGUUGAGAGCUAACGCAGGGAACUGAAACAUCUUAGUACCUGUAGGAAGAGAAAAUAAAUGAAUGAUUCCCCCAGUAGUGGCGAGCGAACGGGGAACAGCCCAAACCAGUGGCGUCGCAAGGCGUUGCUGGGGUUGUAGGACCGCGACAUUGUACUGAAAUGGUGAGUGGAAGUAUCUGGAAAGUUACAUCACAGAAGGUGAUAAUCCUGUACACGAAGCCAGAUUAGGCAUAGCGGUAUCCUGAGUAACGCGGGACACGAGGAAUCCUGCGCGAAUCUGCCGGGACCAUCCGGUAAGGCUAAAUACU